UGCAAGUCGAGCGCGGGAAGCAGACUGAUCCCUUCGGGGUGACGUCUGUGGAACGAGCGGCGGACGGGUGAGUAACACGUGGGCAACCUGCCUGUAAGAUCGGGAUAACUUGCGGAAACGUGAGCUAAUACCGGAUAAUGCUCCACACCUCCUGGUGUGGAGACGAAAGACGGUUUUGCUGUCACUUACAGAUGGGCCCGCGGCGCAUUAGCUAGUUGGUGGGGUAAUGGCCUACCAAGGCGACGAUGCGUAGCCGACCUGAGAGGGUGAUCGGCCACACUGGGACUGAGACACGGCCCAGACUCCUACGGGAGGCAGCAGUAGGGAAUCUUCCGCAAUGGACGAAAGUCUGACGGAGCAACGCCGCGUGAGCGAUGAAGGUCUUCGGAUCGUAAAGCUCUGUUGUUAGGGAAGAACAAGUGCGAGAGUAACUGCUCGCACCUUGACGGUACCUAACCAGAAAGCCACGGCUAACUACGUGCCAGCAGCCGCGGUAAUACGUAGGUGGCAAGCGUUGUCCGGAAUUAUUGGGCGUAAAGGGCUCGCAGGCGGUCUUCUAAGUCUGAUGUGAAAUCUUGCGGCUUAACCGUAAGCGGUCAUUGGAAACUGGAGGACUUGAGUACAGAAGAGGAGAGUGGAAUUCCACGUGUAGCGGUGAAAUGCGUAGAGAUGUGGAGGAACACCAGUGGCGAAGGCGACUCUCUGGUCUGUAACUGACGCUGAGGAGCGAAAGCGUGGGGAGCAAACAGGAUUAGAUACCCUGGUAGUCCACGCCGUAAACGAUGAGUGCUAGGUGUUAGGGGGUUUCCGCCCCUUAGUGCUGCAGUUAACGCAUUAAGCACUCCGCCUGGGG
RNAcentral lists this ribosomal RNA (853 nucleotides) under Oceanobacillus sp. RNAcentral describes it as "bacterial SSU rRNA". It matches the Rfam family "Bacterial small subunit ribosomal RNA", at positions 56 to 878 of the family's 1533-position model. The record is from RNAcentral. Lineage: Bacteria; Bacillati; Bacillota; Bacilli; Caryophanales; Bacillaceae.